ACGAACGCUGGCGGCGUGCUUAACCCAUGCAAGUCGAACGGAAAGGCCCUGCUUUUGUGGGGUGCUCGAGUGGCGAACGGGUGAGUAACACGUGAGUAACCUGCCCUUGACUUUGGGAUAACUUCAGGGAACUGGGGCUAAUACCGGAUAGGAGCUCCUGCUGCAUGGUGGGGGUUGGAAAGUUUCGGCGGUUGGGGAUGGACUCGCGGCUUAUCAGCUUGUUGGUGGGGUAGUGGCUUACCAAGGCUUUGACGGGUAGCCGGCCUGAGAGGGUGACCGGCCACAUUGGGACUGAGAUACGGCCCAGACUCCUACGGGAGGCAGCAGUGGGGAAUAUUGCACAAUGGGCGGAAGCCUGAUGCAGCAACGCCGCGUGCGGGAUGACGGCCUUCGGGUUGUAAACCGCUUUCGCCUGUGACGAAGCGUGAGUGACGGUAAUGGGUAAAGAAGCACCGGCUAACUACGCG
This 467-nucleotide ribosomal RNA is filed under the name uncultured bacterium. Its description in RNAcentral is "partial 16S ribosomal RNA". It matches the Rfam family "Bacterial small subunit ribosomal RNA", at positions 29 to 507 of the family's 1533-position model. The record is from RNAcentral.